CCUACGGGAGGCAGCAGUGGGGAAUAUUGCACAAUGGGGGAAACCCUGAUGCAGCAACGCCGCGUGAAGGAAGACGGUUUUCGGAUUGUAAACUUCUGUUCUUAGUGAAGAAUAAUGACGGUAGCUAAGGAGCAAGCCACGGCUAACUACGUGCCAGCAGCCGCGGUCAUACGUAGGAUCCGAGCAUUAUCCGGAGUGACUGGGUGUAAAGAGUUGCGUAGGUGGCAUAAUAAGUAGCUAGUGAAAUCUGGUGGCUCAACCAUUCAGACUAUUAGCUAAACUGUUAAGCUCGAGACCGUUAGGGGUAACUGGAAUUUCUAGUGUAGGAGUGAAAUCCGUAGAUAUUAGAAGGAACACCAAUAGCGUAGGCAGGUUGCUGGGACGGUUCUGACACUAAGGCACGAAAGCGUAGGGAGCAAACGGGAUUAGAUACCCGAGUAGUC
Molecule: ribosomal RNA, 443 nt
Filed under: uncultured bacterium
Lineage: Bacteria
Description: partial 16S ribosomal RNA
Rfam family: Bacterial small subunit ribosomal RNA
Source: RNAcentral